UUUUCAGUAUAAGUAUGUCCCAUGAAUAUUCGGGGUAUACUUAUACUAUAA
This 51-nucleotide microRNA precursor is filed under the name Sus scrofa (pig). Its description in RNAcentral is "mir-1302 microRNA precursor family". It matches the Rfam family "mir-1302 microRNA precursor family". Lineage: Eukaryota; Metazoa; Chordata; Mammalia; Artiodactyla; Suidae. The record is from Rfam by way of RNAcentral.